UCAACUAAAAUAAAUUGUGCCUGGGUUUCAUUUGCAAUAUUUAGCAAACUGUUUUAGUCGCCGAAAUGAUGUUAAAGAUUUUACUAUAUUCCUGUUUCUUUCUCUUGCUGCCUCUUGCUCUCGCUGCUAAAUUUAUUCGCUGCCAUGAGAUUGGAAUCUGCAAAAGCAGUUGCUUUGUGGCAAUAGACAAAGCGAGUAGAUGUCCUCAAAAUAUGAAAUGCUGUUUGUAUGCAAAUCUGUAAACCACAAAUAAAUUACCAUCCAUACACAAAAGUCUUAAAUUUGGAAAAAGAAUAAUAAAAUGUGUGGGCUAGACUUUCCCCAGAAUAUCUUCUCAA
This is a long non-coding RNA of Drosophila willistoni, 338 nucleotides long. RefSeq lists it as uncharacterized. The transcript has 2 exons. The record is from RefSeq and is a predicted model, not a curated record. Lineage: Eukaryota; Metazoa; Arthropoda; Insecta; Diptera; Drosophilidae.